This 380-nucleotide unclassified non-coding RNA is filed under the name uncultured bacterium. RNAcentral describes it as "contains 16S-23S intergenic spacer region". The record is from RNAcentral.
UCCGGUUUAACACCGGCAGUCUCCUUAGAGUCCCCGGCAUGACUCGCUGGCAACUAAGGACAAGGGUUGCGCUCGUUGCGGGACUUAACCCAACAUCUCACGACACGAGCUGACGACAGCCAUGCAGCACCUGUGCACGGACUCCGAAGAGGGCCCGGUGUUUCCACCAGGUUUCCCGUGCAUGUCAAGCCCAGGUAAGGUUCUUCGCGUUGCGUCGAAUUAAACCACAUGCUCCACAGCUUGUGCGGGCCCCCGUCAAUUCCUUUGAGUUUCAGUCUUGCGACCGUACUCCCCAGGCGGCGAACUUAACGCGUUAGCUUCGAUACUGAGAGCCUAAUUGCUCCCAACAUCCAGUUCGCAUCGUUUAGGGCGUGGACUAC